AGAGUUUGAUCCUGGCUCAGAUUGAACGCUGGCGGAAUGCUUUACACAUGCAAGUCGAACGGCAGCAUAGGUGCUUGCACCUGAUGGCGAGUGGCGAACGGGUGAGUAAUACAUCGGAACGUGCCCAGUCGUGGGGGAUAACGUAGCGAAAGUUACGCUAAUACCGCAUACGAUCUACGGAUGAAAGCGGGGGACCGUAAGGCCUCGCGCGAUUGGAGCGGCCGAUGUUAGAUUAGGUAGUUGGUGGGGUAAAGGCUCACUAAGCCGACGAUCUAUAGCUGGUCUGAGAGGAUGAUCAGCCACACUGGGACUGAGACACGGCCCAGACUCCUACGGGAGGCAGCAGUGGGGAAUUUUGGACAAUGGGCGCAAGCCUGAUCCAGCCAUUCCGCGUGCAGGACGAAGGCCUUCGGGUUGUAAACUGCUUUUGUACAGAACGAAAAGCUCUGGGUUAAUACCCUGGGGUCAUGACGGUACUGUAAGAAUAAGCACCGGCUAACUACGUGCCAGCAGCCGCGGUAAU
RNAcentral lists this ribosomal RNA (523 nucleotides) under uncultured bacterium. RNAcentral describes it as "bacterial SSU rRNA". It matches the Rfam family "Bacterial small subunit ribosomal RNA", at positions 8 to 524 of the family's 1533-position model. The record is from RNAcentral.